RNAcentral lists this ribosomal RNA (134 nucleotides) under uncultured bacterium. Its description in RNAcentral is "partial 16S ribosomal RNA". It matches the Rfam family "Bacterial small subunit ribosomal RNA", at positions 1367 to 1500 of the family's 1533-position model. The record is from RNAcentral.
UACGUUCCCGGGUCUUGUACACACCGCCCGUCACACCAUGGGAGCCGGGAAUGCCCGAAGUCGGUGACCCAACCGUAAGGAGGGAGCCGCCGAAGGCAGGCCUGGUAACUGGGGUGAAGUCGUAACAAGGUAAC